AGAAAAAUAUCUCCUCCCACAGUUAACCUUUCUACAAUAGAGUCACUGCUGUGUACACUAAGUUUACAAUACUCAAUCAUGUACUCUCCCUGUCUCCCAUUUAUAUACAAAUACUCUCUAAUAAUAAGCUAUAAGCUGGUAGAAAUCUAUCUGUUUGGUAGCUAGAAAUCUAUCCCUGUAUUCUCCCAUUUAUAAACAAAUGCUCAUAGCUUAAUUUUACGAUUUUGACAAGUGUUGCGAAAUCUAUCUGAGUUUAAACAAAAACAUGUUUACAAGCAAGUUAGCUCAAUUUUGGUAGCUA
This 301-nucleotide long non-coding RNA is filed under the name Trifolium pratense (red clover). RNAcentral describes it as "long non-coding RNA (TPRA_LNC003467)". Lineage: Eukaryota; Viridiplantae; Streptophyta; Magnoliopsida; Fabales; Fabaceae. The record is from RNAcentral.